GACGAACGCUGGCGGCGUGCUUAACACAUGCAAGUCGAACGGAAAGGCCCUGCUUUUGUGGGGUACUCGCGUGGCGAACGGGUGAGUAACAAGGGAGUAACCUGCCCUUUACUUUGGGAUAACUUCAGGAAACUGGGGCUAAUACCGGAUAAGAGCUCCUGCUGCCUGGUGGGGGUUGGAAAGUUUCGGCGGUUGGGGAUGGACUCGCGGCUUAUCAGCUUGUUGGUGGGGUAGUGGCUUACCAAGGCUUUGACGGGUAGCCGGCCUGAGCGGGUGACCGGCCACAUUGGGACUGAGAUACGGCCCAGACUCCUACGGGAGGCAGCAGUGGGGAAUAUUGCACAAUGGGCGGAAGCCUGAUGCAGCAACGCCGCGUGCGGGAUGACGGCCUUCGGGCUGUAAACCGCUUUCGCCUGUGACGAAGCGUGAGUGACGGUAAUGGGUAAAGAAGCACCGGCUAACUACGUG
Molecule: ribosomal RNA, 468 nt
Filed under: uncultured bacterium
Lineage: Bacteria
Description: partial 16S ribosomal RNA
Rfam family: Bacterial small subunit ribosomal RNA
Source: RNAcentral